Long non-coding RNA from Scaptodrosophila lebanonensis, 257 nucleotides. RefSeq lists it as uncharacterized. The transcript is spliced from 3 exons. Lineage: Eukaryota; Metazoa; Arthropoda; Insecta; Diptera; Drosophilidae. The record is from RefSeq and is a predicted model, not a curated record.
CAGGAGAGUCGUCGGAGUCGCUGGCAGAGCGCUAUUGUUGUUGUUGUUUUUGUUGCUGUUUUGUUUUUCUUGCUUUUCAACCAACCAUUUCUUGUACAGUUUGGCAUGUACACAUGAGCGCCAAACAUAAUUGACGCCAAUCAAUGGAUGCAACGAAAGGGCUCAUCAAACAAAAAAAGAGAGACAGCACUCAUGUGCACAUUUUUAUUUGAUUGAGACAUUGAUUGGCAUUGAUUUAUGUCUCGUUGAUACAUGAA